Molecule: transfer RNA, 16 nt
Filed under: Prionailurus planiceps (flat-headed cat)
Lineage: Eukaryota; Metazoa; Chordata; Mammalia; Carnivora; Felidae
Description: partial tRNA-Asp
Source: RNAcentral
GAAGUAUUAGUAAAAC